CUAAUCGCAGUCAAGAAAACAUCCGAUGUUACCUUGUAAUGUACCCACUUUAGCCAAAGAGUCCGCCAUUCCGUGAUGGAUUGGUGAGGGGAGGAAGGGCAGUGAAGGAAAUGCGAGAAGCGCUUCCCAGGGUUAACAAAACGGAGAGCCUCAACGGAGCUGAGGUUGCAAGUGACUAUGAUCCCAAAGCUAUACUGAAUAGUAUCUAAUUCUGCGACGUAAACUGAAGCAGGGUCAUUAACUUUGAAUGCUGAUCAGUGUUAAGUCAGACCGGACUAAGUCGCAAAACAUCAAAAAAUGAGAUAAUGAUAGCACUGGAUAAAGAAUUUUGUCAGCUACAUUCGACUUUUACCAGAUUUGAUAUAUUUAACAAUAAACAAGAAUUACGGCAAAAAUAAAUUUCCAAUCAUAAUGUAAAGAAUGCGGCGAUUCAAACUUUAAAUUCGUUUUUCUCGAAACCAAUAUUUUGUCAUUUAGUCCGGUCUGACUUAACACCGACCUGCUAAGAUGAUAUGCUUAUUGAAGAUGCUGAACCCAGUCGACUCGCUAUGAUUUAACUAAUCAGUGUCAAACAUUUUGCUACGGUUGACUUCUCUAAAUUUAUCAUAAAAGAUUUAAGGAUCACUUGCGGGCGUUACUACUUCGACUACAUUGCACAGAACAUUAAUAUUGCAUCGUAAAAUACUAAUCAUUGUGUAUUCAUAUAAAAAUGGUAGAGGAGAGAACUAAGACAAGGGCCAUGGGGAGCUGUAGCUAAAUUUUUGAUGUUCUUGAAUCCGUAUGAAUAAUGAAUGUUUUUUUAAAACAUGAAACUUAGCUAAAAAUUAUUUCAAAUCGUUGAAAUACCGUACCGUACCAUAUCAACACCGUUCCUGAAAGAACGUUUAUAGAAACUGGAUCCAGGGGGCCCUGCGGGUCCGGACCCCCCUCCGAAAUUGUUUAACAUCUUGAGAAAUUUUAAUAUUGUUUCUAUUUUAAAUUCGUUCUAAACUCAAAACCAUUCCAAACUAGAUACGACCACAAAAACUGAUGUAAAUUAAAUGAAGGUAUAACAUAUUACGUAUUGUACAAUGAACAUUUCAAAAUCGAAAUUCCCGACUCGCUCCGAAUUUUUUCUGGAUCCGCUACUGGUG
Topomyia yanbarensis is the source of this 1133-nucleotide long non-coding RNA. RefSeq lists it as uncharacterized. The record is from RefSeq and is a predicted model, not a curated record. The transcript has 3 exons. Lineage: Eukaryota; Metazoa; Arthropoda; Insecta; Diptera; Culicidae.